RNAcentral lists this ribosomal RNA (497 nucleotides) under uncultured bacterium. RNAcentral describes it as "partial 16S ribosomal RNA". It matches the Rfam family "Bacterial small subunit ribosomal RNA", at positions 28 to 507 of the family's 1533-position model. The record is from RNAcentral.
GAUGAACGCUGGCGGCGUGCCUAAUACAUGCAAGUCGAGCGAACAGACGAUGAGCUUGCUCCUCUGACGUUAGCGGCGGACGUGUGAGUAACACGUGGAUAACCUACCUAUAAGACUGGGAUAACUUCGGGAAACCGGAGCUAAUACCGGAUAAUAUAUUGAACCGCAUGGUUCAAUAGUGAAAGACGGCUUUGCUGUCACUUAUAGAUGGAUCCGCGCCGCAUUAGCUAGUUGGUAAGGUAACGGCUUACCAAGGCGACGAUGCGUAGCCGACGUGAGAGGGUGAUAGGCCACACGAGAACUGAGCCAGCGUCCAGAGUACUACGGGAGGCCGCAGUAGGGAAUGUGCGGCAGUGGGCGAAAGCCUGGCGGAGCAACGCCGCGUGAGUGAUGAAGGUCUUCGGUUCGUAAAGCUCUGUUAUUAGGGAAGAACCAAUGUGUAAGGAAAUAUGCACGUCUUGACGGUACCUAAUCAGAAAGCCACGGCUAACUACGUG